This 91-nucleotide transfer RNA is filed under the name Coniochaeta sp. 2T2.1. It matches the Rfam family "tRNA". From Rfam's summary of the family: Transfer RNA (tRNA) molecules are approximately 80 nucleotides in length. Their secondary structure includes four short double-helical elements and three loops (D, anti-codon, and T loops). Lineage: Eukaryota; Fungi; Ascomycota; Sordariomycetes; Coniochaetales; Coniochaetaceae. The record is from Rfam by way of RNAcentral.
GGUUGUAUGGUGUAGAGGUUAGCACUCCAGAUUCUGAAACUAUCACAGAGAUUUACUUCUGGCGACCCCGGUUCGAGUCCGGGUACGACCU